Molecule: ribosomal RNA, 253 nt
Filed under: uncultured bacterium
Lineage: Bacteria
Description: partial 16S ribosomal RNA
Rfam family: Bacterial small subunit ribosomal RNA
Source: RNAcentral
UACGUAGGGUGCGAGCGUUAAUCGGAAUUACUGGGCGUAAAGCGUGCGCAGGCGGUUUUGUAAGUCAGAUGUGAAAUCCCCGGGCUUAACCUGGGAACUGCGUUUGAAACUACAAGGCUAGAGUGUGGCAGAGGGGGGUAGAAUUCCACGUGUAGCAGUGAAAUGCGUAGAGAUGCGGAGGAAUACCGAUGGCGAAGGCAGCCCCCUGGGCCAAUACUGACGCUCAUGCACGAAAGCGUGGGGAGCAAACAGG